RNAcentral lists this ribosomal RNA (352 nucleotides) under uncultured bacterium. RNAcentral describes it as "bacterial SSU rRNA". It matches the Rfam family "Bacterial small subunit ribosomal RNA", at positions 8 to 351 of the family's 1533-position model. The record is from RNAcentral.
AGAGUUUGAUCCUGGCUCAGGAUGAACGCUAGCUACAGGCUUAACACAUGCAAGUCGAGGGGCAGCAUGAUUGAAGCUUGCUUCAAUUGAUGGCGACCGGCGCACGGGUGAGUAACGCGUAUCCAACCUUCCGUACACUCAGGGAUAGCCUUUCGAAAGAAAGAUUAAUACCUGAUGGUAUGAUGAGAUUGCAUGAUAGCAUCAUUAAAGAUUUAUCGGUGUACGAUGGGGAUGCGUUCCAUUAGGUAGUAGGCGGGGUAAUGGCCCACCUAGCCGACGAUGGAUAGGGUUCUGAGAGGAAGGUCCCCCACAUUGGAACUGAGACACGGUCCAAACUCCUACCGGGAGGCGA